AUACAUGCAGUCGAGCGGAUCUUCAUUAGCUUGCUUUUGAAGAUCAGCGGCGGACGGGUGAGUAACACGUGGGCAACCUGCCUGUAAGACUGGGAUAACUUCGGGAAACCGGAGCUAAUACCGGAUAAUCCUUUCCCUCACAUGAGGGAAAGCUGAAAGACGGCAUCUCGCUGUCACUUACAGAUGGGCCCGCGGCGCAUUAGCUAGUUGGUGAGGUAACGGCUCACCAAGGCAACGAUGCGUAGCCGACCUGAGAGGGUGAUCGGCCACACUGGGACUGAGACACGGCCCAGACUCCUACGGGAGGCAGCAGUAGGGAAUCUUCCGCAAUGGACGAAAGUCUGACGGAGCAACGCCGCGUGAACGAUGAAGGCUUUCGGGUCGUAAAGUUCUGUUGUCAGGGAAGAACAAGUACCGGAGUAACUGCCGGUACCUUGACGGUACCUGACCAGAAAGCCACGGCUAACUACGUGCCAGCAGCCGCGGUAAUACGGUAGGUGGCAAGCGUUGUCCGGAAUUAUUGGGCGUAAAGCGCGCGCAGGCGGUUCCUUAAGUCUGAUGUGAAAGCCCCCGGCUCAACCGGGGAGGGUCAUUGGAAACUGGGGGAACUUGAGUGCAGAAGAGGAGAGC
RNAcentral lists this ribosomal RNA (630 nucleotides) under Bacillus sp. (in: firmicutes). RNAcentral describes it as "bacterial SSU rRNA". It matches the Rfam family "Bacterial small subunit ribosomal RNA", at positions 51 to 662 of the family's 1533-position model. The record is from RNAcentral. Lineage: Bacteria; Bacillati; Bacillota; Bacilli; Caryophanales; Bacillaceae.